CUCCAGUUGACUGACUCUGUGUGUUUGCAUAUGUGUCCUGCCUCUCUGCUCCCAGCCGUUAAGAGGCCAGUGUUGAUCAGUGGCUGUCCAGGCCUUUCACAGCCACUGACACGCCGGCAGCACAAUGAUGAUGUCACUGAUUCUACUGCUGGCCACCCUGGGGCUCCUUGUUCAGGAUUCAUCAGGAGAAAUCAUCCUGACUCAGUCUCCUGGAUCUCAGACUGUUGCUCCAGGACAAACUGUCUCCAUCAGGUGUAAAACCAGUUCAGAUGUUUAUGGCAAUCUCCAAUGGUACCUUCAGAAACCUGGAGAAGCUCCUAAACUCCUGAUUUAUGGAGCUGCAAACCGUCAGUCUGGAGUUUCAGAUCGUUUUAGUGGAAGUGGAUAUGGGACUGACUUCACUCUGAGCAUCAGAGCAGUUCAGGCUGAAGAUUCGGGAGUUUAUUACUGCAAGCAGAUUGGCAGCUACCCGUUCACACAGUGAUACAACGUUGUACAAAAACCUCCCUCAGCUGGAGAGGAACUGAUCAGACUCAACAGCUGCACUGAAACUAAAACAACACAAGUUUUACUCAGAACAAAAAAAGUAGUUAAGAAUAAUUGACUUAGAACAUUUAUUAUCUAAAUAUACUGUGUAUAAAACACUAUGUAUAUUUUAGUUAUUCAGGCUUUUAACAUUCUGCUGCACAUCAAAGCUAAACUCUGUUGAAUAAUGAUUUCAGUCCUUUGAUAAAUUUAAUUCAUAAAGUACGAUAACACAUGAACACUAAAACUGUGAAUAUUAUUUAUUUUAAAUCUUACCAUUUUUCAUUGGAUCUUGAACAAAUGUUUUAUUUAAAUAGAUUACAGUGUUUAAUGUCAAUAAUUACUUUCAUGUUUUUUAAUUACUAAUUAUGUAUAUAACAUAAUUCAGCCAUUUUGUGUGUUUUGUAUUCCAGUAAAAACAUGUAUUUUAUAAUUAACAACAAAAAUGAUUAAUGGAGUAUGUAAAUCAGUCACAUUUCAAUUCUGUCCUUUUGUCAUCUCUUUAUUUCUCUUUGUGGUUCUUCAGCAGAAACAGGAUGGAAAUAUUUGCUAGUUUAAAUUUCUAGAUCAAACUCAUUUUAUUUCUCUCUAUGCAGACGAUAUACUGCUAUUUAUUUCAGAUUUAACAAACACUUUUCUGACUUUUGUAGUUUAAUUCAAAUAAUAAUGCAUGUUCUUUGGAGACACCUGAAGUUAUUACAAUAUUACAGUCCUUACUAUAAAGACACUUCAGUAAUGAGAGCUGAUUGGAGGAUUUAUCAUUGAAAUGUUCCUACCAUGGGUUUUGUUCCAAAGGUUUAUUAUUACAGACAAAUCUGUAAUGACUAUAGCAGAAUAAGUUUUACAGUCAUGAAGGCAUUCAUAUCCAUUGUGACAACAGAUGAUGGACUUAUACUACUACCAUCACUGUUUGUACUAAUCAAACAAUAAUGAGGAGUUUUGUCUGAGUUUAUGAACUCUUAAAAUGUUCAGUAAAAAUAGACCUAUAUCAUAUAUUCUGAAACUUUCUUUCUGAAUUCAUCACAGAGAACUUACAGGAUCUUUAUCAGCUUAUUUUUCCUCUGGAUUUAAUAAAGUUACUGUUACUAUGAAGAGAAAAUCAUUCAGACACUUUGAUCAUAAUAAAGAUGAAAACAAGUGAUUUGAUGAACACGUCUUUAUUAUGUGGAAACAGUGAAAUAAUAUUGAAACAUUGCAACAAGCUGGUAAAUAUUGCUAUUGAAAGAUGUGAAAUGAAAGACAGAGAUAGUUCCAGAGUGCAGAGUGAGAGCAGUAGCAGAGUCAAACCAGUAGCAGAGUCCCAGUGAGUCAG
Epinephelus fuscoguttatus (brown-marbled grouper) is the source of this 1837-nucleotide non-coding RNA. The record is from the annotation of a RefSeq genome assembly. Lineage: Eukaryota; Metazoa; Chordata; Actinopteri; Perciformes; Serranidae.